This 278-nucleotide ribosomal RNA is filed under the name uncultured bacterium. RNAcentral describes it as "partial 16S ribosomal RNA". It matches the Rfam family "Bacterial small subunit ribosomal RNA", at positions 523 to 787 of the family's 1533-position model. The record is from RNAcentral.
UAGCGAAGGGGGCUAGCGUUGCUCGGGAAUCACUGGGCGUAAAGGGUGCGUAGGCGGGUCUUUAAGUCAGGGGUGAAAGUCCUGGAGCUCAACUCCAGAACUGGCCUUUGAUACUGAAGAUCUUGAGUUCGGGAGAGGUGAGUGGAACUGCGAGUGUAGAGGUGAAAUUCGUAGAUAUUCGCAAGAACACCAGUGGCGAAGGCGGCUCACUGGCCCGAUACUGACGCUGAGGCACGGAAAGCGAUGGGGAAGCCAAACUAGGGGAAUUCAAGAAACCC